GGCCAUCCAAUCACGUGAUGGAUUGAGUUUCGACCGUCGGAUCGUGCAAAAGCUUUCUCUUAUCAACCGACAAUGAACAGCAGCCAUUGGAUCUGAGUUGGGAUGAUUAUGGAUCGUUGGAUCCUGUAAAAUCAUCUGAACCCUCUGUGAGCCGUGCCUGUGGAUCGCGCCCUGACUCUGUGGACCGAGCUGCCGAUCCACCAUGCAUUGAAGGUAAUAAAUUUUAUUUUUAAAGGUAUGUUGGCUUG
Molecule: long non-coding RNA, 248 nt
Filed under: Elaeis guineensis (African oil palm)
Lineage: Eukaryota; Viridiplantae; Streptophyta; Magnoliopsida; Arecales; Arecaceae
Description: long non-coding RNA (EGUI_LNC056832)
Source: RNAcentral